GCCUUCGUGGUGUAGUGGUUCUGCACGCUGGGCCAGUAUUCCAGAGGUCCGUGGUUCGAUUCCCGGCGAAGGCG
Molecule: transfer RNA, 74 nt
Filed under: Stegodyphus dumicola
Lineage: Eukaryota; Metazoa; Arthropoda; Arachnida; Araneae; Eresidae
Description: tRNA-Thr
Rfam family: tRNA
About the family: Transfer RNA (tRNA) molecules are approximately 80 nucleotides in length. Their secondary structure includes four short double-helical elements and three loops (D, anti-codon, and T loops).
Source: RNAcentral